CAACACCUUUGGCUGGUGAAGAAGGAUGAAUGUUUUUGAUACAUAGGUGAAAUUCCUUUAGUGUAUAACAAACUCUUUAUUUGACACACCUAAUUUAGUGAAGGGAUCUGUACUGCUGUCAUGUAUUCAAAACAGAUGUGCAUAACGCAUGAAAAGUGCCUCAUUGUGUAGUUAAGAGGUUUCAGUAUGAGUUUCAUAUAAAUUUAUAUGCCUGAUAUAUAUUGAAGUUAUGAUGUUGAAAUUUGAUGCUUCAUGCAGAAAGGAUUACUGCCCCCAUGAACCGGAUUAAACAAGAAGAUAAAGGGGAAUGUGGAGAUAUGAUGGAAUGCAAGACUUUGACCCCUUGAACUUACCAGAGAAAAGAAAAAAUAUAUAUGGUUAAUAGUUUAAUACUUGUUCCUGCCGCAAAGAAAGUUUGGGUGGAAGUUUUACUUCAGAUUUAGCUCAGAGUGAUAGUGUCUGUCUAAGCCUGAACAAUAUAUUGACAGCUGAUCUAGGAGCCUCAAGCACUUUUAGAUCAAAAGGAGGCAUGUCAUACAAAAUGUUGUCUUUGCACAAAAUGUGACUCCAUUUUUCUUCGGCCUUUUUUCUUCUUAUUUAUCUCGAUCCAUUCCUGGUUUAGGCUGGCAAAAAGCUACUCCUCAUUACCAACUCAAAUUAGCAUUACACAGAACGAUGCAACACUUCUCUUCCUACUGGUAUGGGUUGGCUAGCUGGAUCUAUUCGACUGUAAAUAAGUUUGUCCAUCCACUUGGCUUUGUAACUUCGCGCCAUUGUGGCAUGUUC
Molecule: RNA transcript, 786 nt
Organism: Fragaria vesca subsp. vesca
Lineage: Eukaryota; Viridiplantae; Streptophyta; Magnoliopsida; Rosales; Rosaceae
Exons: 3
Source: RefSeq, a predicted model, not a curated record